Molecule: ribosomal RNA, 498 nt
Filed under: Triticum aestivum (bread wheat)
Lineage: Eukaryota; Viridiplantae; Streptophyta; Magnoliopsida; Poales; Poaceae
Description: partial small subunit ribosomal RNA
Source: RNAcentral
AUGGUUAACACCAUGUUAGACACAUCGGGUCUUUCCAAGGAAUGGUGGGGGGAGGCGCUAAUGACUGCAUGUCAUGUCCUAAACCGAGUUCCCACAAAGCGUAAGACCAUGACUCCAUUUGAGGAAUGGGGAAAGAAAAGAUUGAAACUCUCUUACCAACGUACUUGGGGUUGUUUGGCGAAAGUCAAUAUACCAAUUCCCAAGAAGCGCAAGCUUGGACCAAAAACCGUGGAUUGUGUUCUUGUCGGCUAUGCUUUUCAUAGAAUUGGCUAUAGAUUUUUGAUAAUAAAAUCAGAGGUAUCCGACAUUCAUGUUGGUACGAUCAUGGAGUCGAAUUAUGCAACUUUCUUUCAGGACAUAUUUCCUAUGAAGGUUAUGUCGAGUUCAUCAAAUCAGGAGAUACCUACUCCAUCUAGUGAGGAAUUCGCUGUAAUUCCUGAACCCACCAUUGCGAUGGAACACGACUAUUUCAGAAGCCUAUGCAUCUCCAGAUGCUGA